CCUACGGGAGGCAGCAGUGGGGAAUUUUGGACAAUGGGCGCAAGCCUGAUCCAGCCAUGCCGCGUGCGGGAAGAAGGCCUUCGGGUUGUAAACCGCUUUUGUCAGGGAAGAAACGCUUUGGGAUAAUACCCUGAGGUAAUGACGGUACCUGAAGAAUAAGCACCGGCUAACUACGUGCCAGCAGCCGCGGUAAUACGUAGGGUGCAAGCGUUAAUCGGAAUUACUGGGCGUAAAGCGUGCGCAGGCGGUUCUAUAAGACAGAUGUGAAAUCCCCGGGCUCAACCUGGGAACUGCAUUUGUGACUGUAGAGCUUGAGUGCGGCAGAGGGGGAUGGAAUUCCGCGUGUAGCAGUGAAAUGCGUAGAUAUGCGGAGGAACACCGAUGGCGAAGGCAAUCCCCUGGGCCUGCACUGACGCUCAUGCACGAAAGCGUGGGGAGCAAACAGGAUUAGAUACCCUGGUAGUCCACGCCCUAAACGAUGUCAACUGUUGUUAGGGAGUUCCUUCUCAGUACGUAGCUAACGCGUGAAGUUGACCGCCGUGGGGAGGUACGGCCGCGAGGUUAGUAACGUACGAAGAAGUUAGUACGGCGUGAGACGUAGCCGACGGACGACGACGAGGGAGGAGG
RNAcentral lists this ribosomal RNA (627 nucleotides) under uncultured bacterium. RNAcentral describes it as "bacterial SSU rRNA". The stretch from base 1 to 539 matches the Rfam family "Bacterial small subunit ribosomal RNA", at positions 338 to 873 of the family's 1533-position model. The record is from RNAcentral.